GACGAACGCUGGCGGCGUGCCUAAUACAUGCAAGUCGAACGAACCGCGACUAGGUGCUUGCACUUGGUCAAGGUGAGUGGCGAACGGGUGAGUAACACGUGGGUAACCUACCUCAUAGUGGGGGAUAACAGUCGGAAACGACUGCUAAUACCGCAUAGGACAUAGGAUCACAUGAUCCAGUGAGGAAAGGUGGCGCAAGCUAUCGCUAAGAGAUGGACCCGCGGUGCAUUAGCUAGUUGGUAGGGUAAAGGCCUACCAAGGCGAUGAUGCAUAGCCGACCUGAGAGGGUGAUCGGCCACAUUGGGACUGAGCCACGGCCCAAACUCCUACGGGAGGCAGCAGUAGGGAAUCUUCCGCAAUGGACGCAAGUCUGACGGAGCAACGCCGCGUGAGUGAAGAAGGUCUUCGGAUCGUAAAGCUCUGUUGUUAGAGAAGAACAGCGCAUAGAGUAACUGUUAUGCGUGUGACAGUAUCUAACCAGAAAGCCACGGCUAACUACGUG
RNAcentral lists this ribosomal RNA (502 nucleotides) under uncultured bacterium. Its description in RNAcentral is "partial 16S ribosomal RNA". It matches the Rfam family "Bacterial small subunit ribosomal RNA", at positions 28 to 507 of the family's 1533-position model. The record is from RNAcentral.